Molecule: long non-coding RNA, 19355 nt
Filed under: Coffea arabica (coffee)
Lineage: Eukaryota; Viridiplantae; Streptophyta; Magnoliopsida; Gentianales; Rubiaceae
Description: long non-coding RNA (CARA_LNC003574)
Source: RNAcentral
AAAAAAAAAAAGGUGUGAGAUAGAGUAAUUAGGAUGUCUAUGCAGACGAGAAGCUUCAAAAAACUUCGUUAAUAUGUCUCUCCUGCCAUUAGUGCAAUUUUUCAAAUCAAUGAAAUGAUCAUUGCUAAUUUUAUGUUUUUCAAAGAAAGAGAUUGGCUUACAAUUUUGAGGUGAUUUAGCCCAUCAAAGUCCGGAUCCUUAGUUCCAAAUUGUUGCAAGACCUCCUCUCUAGCACGUGCCUGCCAUUCGGGGUACCUGCAGAGUAAGACCAUUGUCCAGACAAGUAGUGCAGAAGUAGUCUCCUGGCCAGCAAAAUAGAACAGCUUGCACUCAUCAACAAUUUCUUCGGUAGUCAUACCAGAGUCCUUGUUUCCAUGCUUCUCGAUUUCUUGAGAAUUGGAUUGAAGCAUUAAUCCCAACAAGUCAUCUGAGCCGGCUUCUCCUGCUCUCAUUGCCUUUCUUCUUGUGUUGAUCAUUUCCCUUACUGAACCAUUAACUUCUCUGGCAAUUUGUUUCAUUCUUCUGCUCCUCUUGGUUGGCAAGAACCUAACAAAGAUCAUAGUUUAGCCAAAAAAAAAAAAAGCAAGAACAAACUAUGUUUGCAGCAAUGUUUUUGGCUCCAUUUUUAAAUCACUUAGGCGUAUCUCAUAUGUUAAAAUUCCCAUCUAAGGCAGUCUUUCAUGAUCAUUGUCCAAUCACGAUUUUCAAACCAUUGAUUUCUAGUAGUCACAAUUUUCUACAGCACUCAAGAAUUCAUGAUCAGUCUACCUAUAUCCUGGGAUGUUGAUGUACACCGACCGUGCUAACUGCAUCAAAUGCUCAGUUUGCUCUCUCUGGAGCUCAAAGAUCCUUCUUCCUUCUUCAUAGUUGCUGCCAAAUGCUGUACGAGAAAUUGCAUCGCUGGUAAGAGCCUGAAGAUUGGGCCAAACAUCCACUUCAGCCAACCCCUUUGGUGAAACAACAUUCUCCCAUUUCGUCACCAUCUCACUUGCACUUUUAUAAAAGGCUGGGAGCAUAAGCUAUUUAUCCAUAAAAGAAAAGAAAAUCAGUGAAAGAAACUACUCCAUUGAAGGCUGCUUAGUAAAUAAAUGAUGCAAUUGACUAAGGACUGUCAAAUACAGAUAGUGUUUUCAAUUUUAGGAUAUAAUAACUGUGAGUGUGCGAAUUUAUAUCAUAAUUUUACUGUAAUUUACUUGCGCUAACAAGUAUUUUUAGGUCACCUGUUAAAAAAAAAAAAAAACCCCAUAAAAUGAUUAAAUUAGAGAGAAGAGAACCUUCAAUUUCUCAACGUGGAAAGCUGGGUUGAGGAGUUUUCUAUGUUUGGCCCAUUUUUCUCCCUCAUAGGUCACCACUCCUUGAACCAAUAAUUUUGUAAUUGCAUUUAAACGGGGCUUAGGGAAAACAUCAACCUUUUGUGUAAUUUCCUUCAUAAGAUUAGGGUCCACGAUCACCACGGCAGGCGUCGGCCCAAACCAUAAAUAUGUAUUUUUACCUGAAAGCCACAGCCACAUGGAUUAGGAAACGAACCGCAACCACCGCUUUUGCCCCAUAACCAAAAAGUAUUAGCAACCUAGAGACCUUCCGCUAGGAAAGGAUAAUAAAAUGCAAAUGUUUCAAAACAUAAAAUACAAGGGUAAAAUCAACCGUAAUCCACUAAAAUAAUUCAAAUUCUUCAAAAACCUUUUUUUUUUUUUUUUGGCAUCAAUCAAACUAAUAAACUGUUUAAAGUAAUUCAAUCAGCUCAUUUCCAUCAGAAUCUUAGAUUAAGUUAGCUGGAAAUCUGUUCAAAAUGUCAACUACGCGCUAUUGGUAAGGAUAAAAUUGACAUUUCUCCUCAUCCACCUUCCUAAUCGACUAAAAUUCUUCAUUCUAAAUCAAGUUAACUCCCAAAACCUUGAGAAUUUGGUGGAGUGCAAUUUCAACUCUUUAACUUUUUUCAGAGUUAAUAUGAUGGGAUUGAUAUAUAGAUUUUAAACGAUUGGGAAGGAUGGAUGAGACAAAAUGUCAUUUUUGUUCCUGCCAAAUUGCACACAUCCGUUAGCUUGACGAGAUGGACUGAUUGAAACUUUUGAGUACUAUAAUGACACAAAAAAAAAAAAGAAAUAAUCUUAUAUAUAUGUCAGUGUAUGCAUUAUUAUCAUUAGAUAUAUGAUACAUGUACAAAAUUUAAAUUUGAAAUUUAACAUUUGCUCACGUGUCAUCCGUCUAAUUACGAUAGAAUAUACACUGACAAUGUAUAUAAAAUUUUUUCAAAAAAAAUUAAUGGUUUCUAUGAGAAUUUUUGAAAUAGUUUAGUGGGUUAUAGUGCACUUUAUCCAAAAAAGAAUUAAUAAAAAAAGAUUCACAAGAAUAAUAAAGCAAACAAACCAAAAAUAGAAUUUAAAAGAAAAAGAAAGAAAACUUGAAAUCUAAAGUUCAUUGGGAGCACGGAUUUUUGUCGGAACUUUAAUCCUUAUUUUGUUUAUUUGAUGAUUUGAUCCAAUUUAAUCUGAUCAUAAUUGACUACAAAUUUACCAUGCCAAUAUUCUCUGUCUUAACUCUAGAAUUCCAAUUUGACUAAAUUAUUGAAUUUAAACUAAUAGCUGGAAAACAAACUAAUUUUACAGUUCAUGUAUCGAUCUUAUAGAUUUAUACAUUUCUUUAUGCGAAUUUCUGUCAAAAUAUUGGCUUCCCUCAAUUAGCAUGUCUAAUUUGCAUAGACAAUAAAUAUUAUUCACUAUUUUCUCCUUUUUUUUUGGGUAAGUAUCUUAGUCACUAAUUUUCAACAUCGAAAAGAAAAAGGGUAAAAGAAAAGGUAAAUGAUAUUCUAUUUAACAAAAGCAGAGAAAAGGGAAAAAAAUGGAGAUCAAAUGAGGGACGAACGUGGUUAUGAGGCAAAGAAAUGAAAGCAGAGUUGAUAAGAACAAUGAAUACUACCAUAUUUCUUAAUGGCUCCAAGAUAUUCAGGAAUAACUCUUGGUACGAUGUCGUCGGAGAGUCUAAGAUUCUUGGAGUGGGCUUCUGUGUACAAGGCCGAUAUAUCUUUGAAGUCUCCAUGGAGCCGCUUGUAAGGGUUUCCCCUGAAACCUUGCUCUUUCAGACGUUUCUCCAGCUUCUUCGGCCUAAACCAUACCCAGUUCAAAGCUUUCCAUGAUACUGCUACUACCAGAAGAAGAAGAAGAAGAAGACAAGAAGAAUACACAGUAAAGGUUGAUGGAUUGGUGGUUUCCAUGUUGUGAAUUUUGUGAUGGCUUCCGUGUAAAAUUUCGACCUUUCUUGUGUGCAUAUUUAUAUUCGAGUUGGGGCGAUGAUAACCUUGGUUUUGUUUGCAUGGCUAUUCAUUUACUAGUUUUAUAGCUUUGACGUCACGUGUCAGGCAGUUGAGACUCGUUAUUUUGCUGUUAUGUUUGUGUUUUUAUUCUUUGUUAGAUGUAGUAGUCAUACGUGUGAGUGUGUGUUUUUUCCUAAUUGCACAAAUAAACAUGCCCUGAAAUCAGGUUAUCUAACAUUUUUAAUGUAGCAUUAAUCAGUAACCAAUGCCUAGAAUCAGGUAGAAUUAAUAGGCAUGGUAAUCUAACUACAAGGCAUGCCUAAAAUCAAUAAGUAAUGCCUAAAAUUAGGUAGAACUAAAAGGCAUAUGGCUAUCCAUGUAAUGUGUAGCCUUGCUUAUUAGUCACAUUACUUCUCUAAGAUAAGCAAUUUGACAAUUUCCAUUUUUUUUUGACAAUUUUUGUUUGCUAGUACUUCACAUUUAACAGUCUUAUAGAAGAAAAAAAUAAAGAAAAACAAUUAUAAAAUGGGUUUAUCAUUUUCUUUUGUUUGCUAGACUUGAACGAGCAUUCAAACAUAUUUAAAAAUAUUUCAAACCAACGUAAAAUUGAAUUAAUCUUUUUUGUAUGUUCAAUGGCUUUUUCUUUUACAUUAAUAGGUUUGGAUGCAUGACACAUAAUUUUUAUUCAAUUCUAGCCCACCGUGACCUUCGUUUGUAUAUACUAUCAUUUCUCCUAAUCAAGAUUUCAUGUUGGAUCCUAUUCUUUUUAGUUGCAAUUUAGAUGAUUGUUUGAUUGAUAGAUUAAAAGUGUUCGGGAAUGGAGGGAGCAACAAUGGUUUCUUUGGACUGGACAUCAUCUAUUGAAAAUGAGUCUCGAACUCUCAAUGUUGAACAACUUCAAUUUGCAAGGGUAAAUAUACAUAUUUUCUUAUUUUCCUUUCUUUCUUCCUUUUUUUUGGGAGAUUUUGAUGAUUUUGGUUCUGAUAAUUUGUAUAAGAAGCAGCACUUUAUGUGGUGAGUACGAGGAGCAUGGAAGAAGCUCUUUGAAUUUCAUUAAGAUAAUGGCUUAGAUAUAUACUAAUACAAUAUCUAACGAUUUCUUUAGGUUAAAAUUUUUCUUUUGUACUUUCUAGAUUCUUUGGAUUUAUAAUUCUUACUUAUUUGAUGAUUCUUUUUGGUACUUGGUUGGUGAUUUUUUUUUUUUUUUUUUGUAAUCUGUAUCAUGAGCUGCAAAAUUAUAGGUUAUUUUGUCUUUUUUAAACCAUGUGCUAAAAUAGAUGAGCUUCUCUUUUUCUUUUUCUUUUUUAAAUAAAAGUGGUAUUCAAAAUCAAGAGAUAGUUGGAAUCUUUAAAUGGUGAAAUCCAAAUCGACUUGUGUUUAAGGAUAGGUUAGAAUAAAAUGCUAAGAAAUAACCGAUGGAGCUAUUCUAUAAAUGGGUAACAAACUCGUGUUGAAGGUUAAAAAAUACAUAUUUAUAGAAUCAUUUUUUUCAUAUUCGGAAGAAAAAAGCUGGACCUACUGUAAAAGUUCAAAAACGAUAAUCCAUUUCUUAAAUUGCAUAUUUUUUAUGAAGAAAGUUUAUCCUUUUGCCAAAAAAAAAAAAAAUGUUUACAUAGAGAUCCCUUUUUUUUUCGCAAAACAGAAGGACCCUCUGACCAUUCUAACUCAAAAUACAACCGGGCAGCAGCUUGCAAGGGAGUGCAAGGUUCCCUUGUACCAUUCGUGUGGCAGUAGUUGGUGGUGGGAUAGCCAAAAGACCAAAACACCACCAAUUGAGUCAGCCGAAAGACCAAAAUACCCCUCAACUGAAGCAUGCUUUCUUAUCCAAGAUGAUUGGUCUUUCAUGUUAUCGUUUGUCAAUCUAGGAAUAUCUUUUUCGCAGGAAAAUUAGGAAAGAAUAGUAGUUUGGGAAGGAGACAAAAAAAACGUAAAAAAGAGGGAGUUGUUCCCUUGACUUUGGAGAGUAACAUAUCUGCUUGAGGGGAGACUAUCUAUCCAUCCGUCGUUUGUUCUUUUGGCCAAGGAGCGGAAGGCUUUUUUUUUUCUCUUUUGAUUUUUCGAACGUUCAUGUACUCAACGAUGAGCAACUAAUUUCCUCUCUCUAAUUUGGUUUAACUACAACUGUGAAAUCUUAUUAUUUUUAUUUAUUUUUUUAUUCAUUAAUAUUCAAUGUUUCUGAUUUAAUUUCUUAUGAUUAUUUUGUUAUGUAAAUAUCAUGGGUCUGAUAUUUGAAUUAACCUAAUAAUCAAAUAUCAUAUUAAUUAAUUAAAUCUGUAAUUGUUUGAUUGGUUAAUAUUAGUGACGACUAACGUGAUUAAUUUCAUGUUAGAGAAACAUAUGAUCUAAUUUAAAUAAACCUUGGUUGUGAAUUUAUUGAUUAGAAUAGGAUUUUUCUAGUUUUUAAUACAAUGAAAAAAUUAAAUUCUACGGACGUACCUAGAGUUUUUUUUUAUUAGAAAAGUAAUUAAUGGGCGUGACUUAACUAUCGACACAGUAAGAAAAAUCUGAUGACAAAGCCAUUUGUCAUCACUUAUUUGGCAAUUAUAACCUGCUUGUUAACGAAUAAAUGAAAUAGUUAUUGCAUCAAAUGAACAGUUGUGUGUACCACUUACGAAGUUUCCUUCUUCGCUAGAGUUUGCUUAUUAUUAAAUUAAUUUAAAUUUUCUUUCGUUUGAUUGCUUUUAGUUAAAUUGAUCUUUUUAUUUCAAUAUUUUAAAACACCCAUUUAAUUCUUGUUUGGAAGGAAAUAAAAUUCAGGCCUGUUUGACAAGUGAGUUUUUUGGGUGUUUGUCUAAAACUUUACUAUAGUUUAUUGUAGAAGUUUUUAAAAAAAAUUUUGAAGUAUGUAAAUUUUUGAAUAUUUUGAAAUGUAUAAUUUAAAAACUUUAAAAAUUUUUUUAAAGUUACUGUAGCUAAAUUUUUUAAAAAACUUAUAGCAGAUAAACUUGACAAAAAAUUCAAGUGCCAAACCGGGCCUCAGUUCUUGAGAAAACGAUCCUACUCACCGUGUACUUGAAAUUAAAAUUUUAGAAUAUAAAUUUUAAUUUCGGUGAUUUGAUACCCAUCAUAGCAUGGUCAGAUGUUCUGUUCUAGAAGAAUAGAAAAGACUAGACAAUCAAACGAGCACUCAAUUUCAACAAAUUGAUUACGAUUGUUCUGGUAACAAUCAAGCUAUGUCAGCAGUUAUUGAAGGCAAGUCAUAAUGUGAGCAGCCAGAAGAAACAAUUGAAAGGGAUCGUUCUAGGGUAGGUACGCUUUGACCGUGCGCCUACCGUGGGAACGUGCUCAGAGAUGGACACAUGUACUGAUCACUAAUGUAGUGGACCUUGUAGAGGAAAAUUGUCAUUAGAAGUCAGGUUAUUAUCAUUUUACUCCUUAAACUAUAUUACUAUUAUCAAUUUAUCUUAUUAUGUUAUCUUUUAGUCAUUUCACCUAGGGGUGGCAAUUUUCGACACGACCUGAAAACAAAACACGAACCUAACACGAAAUUAAUGGGUUUGGGUUGAGGUUUCGGGAAUUCGGGUCAGAAUCGGGUUGGACCCGAUGAACCCGAAAAGAAAACAGGUCGAUUUCGGGUCAACCCGUGGUGACCUGAUAUGACCCGAUAUGACCCAUUAACGAAUUAAAAAUAAUUUAAUAAACAUAAAAAUAAUUUAAUCUAACUAAACUAAGUUAUUCUUUUUUUCAAAGGCAUUAAUUACUUAAUUCUAAAUGAAUUUAUUUAAUUUGUGUGAAGUUGAAAUUAUUAUAUUUGGACAAAUAAUAUAUUAUAUUAUUUUUUACUUUUAUGCUGUUUUAAUUUAUUUUAUAUUUUGUUUGGGAUAAAACACUUUUACGGUAUUUAAUUUAUUUUAGAUUUGGUUUGGAAUUAUUUAUUUAAAUUUUUAUUACUUGAUUAUGUAAUUAGUUUUAUGAGAAAUUGAUUUUAUUAGAAAUUACAGUGAUAAAUUAAUAAAUUAAAAUUAAGUUUCGGGUCAUUUCGGGUCGACCCGCCAACCUGAAAUUUUCGGGUUCGGGUCAGCAUACCUGACCCGUCACGGGUUGGCGGGUCGGGUUCGGGUCGACAGAUUUUCUGACGGGUUGACCCGAACCCAACUCGCCAACCUGAUUUGGACCCGAAUUGCCACCCCUAAUUUCACCUUAUAGAAAAUUCAACUGUUGAUAAAUUUUUGAUAAAAAUAUCUUUUAUUUUAUAGUAUUACUAUAUUGUUAUUAUCACUUUAUCCCUUUAAAUUAUAGUGAUGUAGUCGCUUUACUAUCUUCUAGAUGUUUUACCCUAUCAUUAAUCUAAAAAAUAUGUUAAAAUAUGGUUAAAUGUAUUUAUUUUUUAUAUAUAAUUAAAAAUAAAAAGUUGAAAUAAUUAUUCUUCCUUUUUUUCACUCUAAGAUUCCAAAAACAUAAAAAUAAAAAUGUAUUCUCAAAUUUCUUUUUUCACACUUAUUAUACUUGAAAAAGAAAAGUAGAUAGGACAGAAGUAGACAAAAAUUAGAUUUUGCAAAGAAAAAAAAUAAAAAAAUCUAAUACUAUCGUAUUACUUUAAUGUCUUAGGGAUUAGGAUUGAAAUUGGGUAAUAAACAGAAAAAUAAAUUAAUUUUAAAAUAAUAAAAUUAUUGAAUUCUUUCUUGUUUGUAUUAAAAAAAGAAGUGAGCUCUCUCUCUCGCCACUCUAAAUUUUUUUUUUAUAUAAAAAAAUGAGGGUACUAUUUUCUAAAGUUUUUUAACUUGUUAAAUUGGUUUAAUGGUGGAAUAAAUUGACUAAAAAAUAAUUUUAUGGGGUAAAUUCAUAAUAAGAUUAUAAUUUAUGGGGAUAAAGUGAUAUUAAUUUUAAAAGUUAAACAUGUCUUAUCAUUUGAAUUAAUAAAUCGUUAAGUUUAAUCGUUAGCUUUGGAAGUAAAAUGACUAAAAAAUAACGUUAAAGAGAAAAUUGAUAGUGACGCCAAAUGUUAAGGAGAUACCGAGAUAGGAAGGAUUGAGUGAUAAUAACCCUUAGAAGUCACACGCGCAUGCCCAACUCGGGGUGGGUCGUGUGGUGUGUUGCUCCUCUUUAGGAUAUGGCCACCAAGGAUCGAGUUUCAAAAUUAAUGUGUUCGAGAGGAAUGGGUCUCUCUUUUCGGGCCGCAGGAGAUUAGUCGGGUCGAAAGUCCAGAUACUCCUGUGUAAAAAAAAAGAAAAAAAAAGUCACGCCCAUGAAUUGAGUGCAAGAACCAAUGGAUUUCGAGGACAGUAAACUGCAAUAAAACAUGUCUGGUGGCGGGGAGGAUGUACAUGUGCCUCUUUAAGUACAAUGAAAUACCGCCUUCUUUCUCUGAUGGGAGCCUUUUCUCUCUUGGAGAAAGAGCUUUUCUCUACUUAGGUAGGAGUUUCAAACUCUCAAAAAAACCUCAAAUUCAAAAUCCUUCAAAAGUUCAAGACCCUUCAAAAUUCAAGAACCAAUUGGACACCCAGAUCUGCUACAAUUUCAGCGAACAAGAAACAUUAAGGCAAACGACACGGUAGAUCUGGUGAGGCUGCCAUCAAAACAGAAGAAAUACAACCACAAAGGGAACAUAUGGAGAAAAGAUGAAUUAAUGGCAAACAAAAAGGACCACAAGCACUAAGAGAGAGAGCCAGGAAACCACUAUCAUGGGACGGACCACGGGCAGGAACGGUUGCUAGCGGUUUUGUGCAUUUUACACACCGCGUAAUUUUGUUUGCAUAUGGCGUAACUUUAUUUGCACAACGUGUAACUUUAAAACAAAAUUUUGUGAGUCUCACACACGUUAUAAGAAUCAAUGUAUAAAAAAGUGAUCUAGAUCUUAUAAUUUUUUGUGACCAAAUCUUGGCUCUUAACUGCUCCUCUUCUAGAUGAUCGCUCCUGCCCCUCAUCCAUCACGGGACAUGUGGAAGACUGAUUCAGCUCACAUAAAAAAAUCCCUCGGGUAAUUGGUCUUGAAUCCUUGGCUGCUUUCUCUUCAUUUAUUCCUGCAUUUAUGACUCUUUUAGCUUCUGUCAGUCUACUAGUUGGACAUGAGUUCUCUUCCUAACUUUUCCUUUAGAAUUCUAGAAGAGUUACCUAGGUUCUGUCAGUAUAGUUGGUUUUGAUCUACCUUUUCGUCUUAGUUGUCCUAACAUACUCCCAAUAGUCCUGCCCUAGCUGGAGUACAGGAAGUUCUGCUCCUCUUUUUGCAGAUUUGGUUAGCUCCCAACACUGAGUGCUUAGGCUGAAAUUCCCACUAGUAUCCUAAUCAAAAUGGCAGAUAAGAUAUAAUGCAGAAAUUUGCUCUAAACAACAUGGAAUCUGUCGGAACUGAUCUAGACAGUGGGGAUCUGAGACCUGGACUUGUUGAAAGGUAAACAUUCUUCAAUUGAGAUAAAAGUAUUCGAGGAAAAGAAAAGGAAAAAGAUGAAAAACGUUCCACUUGUUUCUUGCAGCCAAAAAGAAGAGGUGCCUAAUGACUGCUAACUCGUCUUCUGCUUGGAGAGAGAGAGAAUAAAGAAAACGAUAAUGCCUGUCCCUUUUUUUCAUUUCCUACUAACACUGAACUACUCCUAAUUCAAAUCAAAUUGUUCCAACUAUGUUAACGAAAAGGAAGAGUCAACAUAGACAAAAUAGUCUAGCUUUCUAGUAGGGAUAAAAUAUUUUAUCCCUGUGGUGGAACAUCUGAUUCAUAUGACUUCAACUCGCGACUGGAUAUUACGCGCCAGCUCUUGAGUUUUCCGGAUGUGCAUAAUUUUUAACUUUGACGUGCUUACACCGGACAACAAGUUGAGUAAAUAAUCACGCUUUUUUAUUAUUUUUUUGUUCCAAAUCCCUACAAUCGACAAUAAUUAUCAAAAAUAAAUAGAAUAUACCAAUUAACUCAAUAUUUGAUAAAAUAAAAGAGAUAAAUCAUUAUGAAAUUAAUAACAAAAAUGCAACGUAUCAAUAAUAGGGAAAGUGAAAGGGGAGAAAACGGGGAACUACACAGACAUGAAAAUUUUUGUGGUUAGUGUGUGGAACUACCCAAAGGACCCUGGAGUGGCAGAACUGGGACCAAACCUAUUCCAAUUUACAAUCCCGGAUGAGAAAUGAAGAACAAGGAUACUCACAGGGGGACCAUGGAUCUUGCACAAUCAAAUCCUAGAACUCAAUGAGUGGUAUAAAGGAAUUGAGGAGGAUGAAACUACAUUUCAUGUUGCACCAUUGUGGAUACAAGUUUGGAACUUGUGUCUACACUGAAUUUUCAUGAGGUCAAGGACGUGAUCAUCCCCCAAACAAGUGGGAAGGAAGGGAGACACUUAAAGUUGCUGGCUCUGGUGGACAUCUCCCAAUUACUGAUGAGAGGAACCACUGUCAGAAUGAAUGGAAUAAUCAAAUGGGCAAAAUUUAAAUAUGAAAGAUGCCCAGACUUUUGUUACCAUUGUGGGAUUACAGGACAUAGUGAGAGGACUUUGCAAGGUACACAUGAAUAUCCAACAUGAACAGCAGGAAAACCAAUAUGGUCCAUGGAUGAGAGCUUCAAAUGAAAGGGUGUCACCUCAGAAAGAGACAAUAGUGAACAACUAUGGCUCGAACAAGGUUCACCGGGGAGUACAAAAUGGGGAAUUAGUCAAGAGAGACAUGAGGAAUGCAACAACUAGCAAGAUGAGGCCCAGCAGUCAUGAGCGGGUCCCUUCAUGACUGCUCAAAUUUCUAAAACCACUUAAAGACAAGCAAUAAAAUGGACCCUUUAUGACUAUCCUAAUUUCUAAUAUUAAUACCAAAAAAAGAUAAACAACAAAAGGGUCCAUUUACGGCUUUCUUGGACCCGUGGCAAUAAUUCUUUAAUUUUCUCCCCCUCAAAUUCUAGAAUCUCCAUUGUUUGACCAAAUUUUAAAGUAAUUGCUGGAAAAUAAAUGUAAUUUGUAGUUCACAUAUGGUAGGUCUCUUUUUUAAAAAAAAAUUUAUUUACAAAAACUUGUGUAAGUUCGAUUUGCAGUCUAUUUAUCGACUAUAUAACAUAUAAUAUAUGCAAUAAUCACAUGAAUUUUCUGACUUUUAUCAUCCUUCAUUCAUCAUCAAUUCUCUUACACAACCUUACUCAAAGUGACCAUUGCAUAUAGCACAUUAUAUGCAAGAACAUCCACAAGCAUAUUCGUUCAACCAAGUCUAAACAAGUUUAUUUAAAAACAAUAACAAGAAUUGUAACUCAAUAAUACUACAAACUAAUCGAAACUUAACUUGCAAUUGGGUUUGAUGAUAUGGUGGAAAGGAUUGUAAAUAGGAGAUCAUUAGUUAUAGACCUCUCACUUACAAAAAAAAAAAUUAAAAUGGUGUAAUGAAUAUGAAGAUAUAAUAAACAUAUGAAUUUUUUUAAGCAAAUUUCAAAAUAAUAGCUUCCACCAAUUAACAAGUCUAUUAUUUAAAUUACUAGGAGAGGAAUGCCUGCGCAUCGCGGGAGUAUUUGGUACUUGUGGUUAAAGAAGAUUUUUCAUUGGACAAAUAAUAAUACAUUUUGAAAAGAAACAGUUAUGAAAUAUGACAAAAAAAAGUUUGGAAUUCAUUGUCCAGUUCUAAAGAAGCUAGAGUCUGAUACUUUAUAUAUAUAAAACGUGUUCAACACCAACAUAUAGUUUGAGUAUUUGUCCGCGCAUCACACUUAUGAAGUCCUAAAGGGCAGAAGAAUAAACUAUGAAGAAAUACCUUGGAAUCUGGGACACCCUCAAGAGUCUCCUUCUCUAAUAAAAGCGCAACAAAUCCAACAAUAUUCUUUGCUUUCCUAUAUGUUUCAACAGCUUAACAGUUCACCAAACAAUUGACUUCCGCCAUUUCUAACAUAUGUAGUUUACAAUAUUUUUUUUCCUUUUUCACGGCUCAACUAACAAUUGCCUUCCAAUCUACGAAAGUAAGAAAAAAUACAAAGAGCAAAACAAGUAGUCAUGGGGUGAGAUUCUUGCCAGCUAGGUAGUAGUAAAUUUUGUAGAACCAUCAGAUCCCUAGGCCAUCAUGGUUACCCUCACCGUUCUUCCUGCCUUUGUCCAAGUUCAUUUGCAGCAUCACUCCAUCCUCUGUUCCUUCUCUUCCCCAUUGCAACUGCUAAACACAGCAAGUCAAGUUUCAUUAGAAACAAAAGAAAAUAGAUGUGAUCAAACAAAAACAAAAAGUAAUAUAGUAGAUUAAAUGAUUAGGUUUGGUGGAUUUUGGGCUUAUGUUCGGUGCAUUCAAAUGUUUCUACUAUAGGCAAUUUGAGACUUUGUGGCGGCGGUGAUAGGGUGUUAAUUGUUGGUUAUUUUAUUGUUAAUUUUUUCCUUUAUUCUUACCAAAUAUUGUUUUAAUUAUUAAUAUUUACUUAUAUUUGGUAUUGGACUCAAUUUCAGGAAGUGAAACAGAAAACUACAAAAAUGAGGGACUUUUUGGAGAUAAUUGGGAUUUCAAACAACCGGGCCCACAUGGUGCUACAAAGAGAUUGUAUUUCCUUUGCUGAUUAGGAGAUUGGAGUCCUACGGGCAAUAGGAAACUAAAAGCAAGGAAUUCGGUAGAGCCCCACCUUUGGUUUGAUUCUCAAUUCCAGCGGGGACCACAGGGAUAAGAAGCUUUAGUCAUUGUUGGCUUUAAAAAGGAGACAAACGUACAGAGAACUCUGAUCAAUCAAUAGUUUUAGUUUAGGCUUUUAGCAUAGUUUUAGUUUUUCUUUUCUUAGCUUUUUCGCAUGGUUGUUCUCCAUUAAUGAAGGACUAACCUCUUAAUUCUAGUCAAGGGGACAACUGAAGACUUGGUUCAACAAUUACUGUGAGAUCGAAAUUAUUUUAAUCGCUUCCUCAUUUAUUGGUAUUCAUGUGUUUCCUGUUUUUAAUUGUUAUAGUCCUUAUGUAUGAUUGAUUAGUGCGCAAUAAUUAAUUAUUCAUAUAGGUUAUUUUGCUAAAUAGAGGUAAUUGAAUCCGUAAUUGUUCGUUAUCUCUAUCUUAGUAGCAACUGGCGUAAUUGGGUUUAUGUCAGGGGAGCAUACGAUCUAGUUUAAACAAACCCUCGUAGCGUGCCCACGCCAGAGGGAAAGAAAUUUUCGUUCAAGAUCUGCGGACUCUAUAGCAGUUAGACGUGCCCACGCUAGGUGGUCACGCUAACGGAUCGAGAAUUUUCGUCGGAUGGUCAAAAGACUAGGGAGCGGUUAGGCAUGCCCAAGCCUAAGCUAGAGAUUCUUUGAAAAAAAAAAUUAAAAAUUUUAUAUUGAGAAAAUUCAAAAACUCAAAAAAAAAAAACAUUUUUUCUUCUUCUUCAAAAAUUCAAAUUUUGGAAUUUCAAAUUCAGGAAAAAAUUUGGAAAAAACAUUGAGAAAAAAAAACCCAAAAACUAUUUUUUUUUUCCUCUUUUUCUUUUUCUCUUUUCUUUCUUUCUUUCUCUUUUAUUCCUCUUUUUCCUCGCUUCCUUCUUCUUCUUCUUUUCUUUUCUUCUUCGACCGAGACCCAAGCCACAGCGCGCCGCAUGCCGCCUGAGCUCAACGCUGCCGCGCCGUCGCGCGCAGCCUCCCCUGCGCAACCUCCACCAGCUCCACUCUCUUGACCACCUCCACCUCAGCUCAACCUCUACCAGCUCGCCAUCGCCGCCGCCGUCCAGCCCUGAGCUCCACCGCACGGUCGCUCCCACCACUGCAGCAGAUCCAGCUCAGCCGCCUGCCCACGCCCCACAGCCCAGCGCCGCAACAGCUUGCUGCUGCCUCCAACCCCACACGACACACAGCGCCCGAACUGCCAUCGCCGAUCGCCGCCAGUCUCCCAGCUCCCCCUCUGCGCUCUCUCCACUUCGUGAACCAGCCGCACUUAAGCUCACCUCCACCAGCUCUCCCUCGCACGCCACUAGCUGCUCCGCUGCUCGCUCCAUUCCCACCUGUCCAAAUUGACAGGUGGAGGUAUUGAACCUUCAACUUCGAUUAGUAUUUUUUUUUUCUUUUUUUUUCUUCUGGUUCUGCUUUUGCUAGAUUUUGCGCUUGUGUGUCUGGGUUUCUUGUUGGAUAACAGAGAGGGUUGUUGUGGGCAUUUUCUAGGGUGAAUUUUGGACAGAUUUGGGUCUAAUUGCUACCAUAUGUGGGGAUAUUUUCUGAUAUUUGUUGAAUUGUUGGCCGUCUGACCUUCCCUAUGUGUAUACCAGUGGUACUGGUUGGAGUGUUUUGUUUACAUUCAUUGAUUUUAUGUGGUCGCCUGUCUGAUUGCGAGCUAAUGACCUUGUACUUCUGUUGUUGUUCGCAAUUUCACCUGUGGUUGCUGAAAUUGCCAAUUUCUGGGGUCAUUUGCUACUUUUCACAGGUUGGAUUUCUUGUUGGAUCCAAGAGGGUGAUAAUUUGGGCAUUUUCUAGGGUCAAUUUUGGGACAAAAUUACGUUUAUUUGCUGCUUUGUUUGGGGAUAUUUUCUGGCAUCGAUUACAUUAUUGAGUUGGCCAUUUGCUUUAGUUUUUCCCUGUGACUCACCAGUGGUACUGGUUGAGAUUUUUGGCCUAUCGUUGUGGCUCCUAUUUGAAGAUUCUUGCUUAUUUGAAAGUUUAAGUUCUUGUGAUUGGGUUGCUGCCGUUGAAUUUAAUUCUUUCCUGUCUAUGCACCAGUGGUACUGGUUGCAAUGUUGCUUUCCAUUUCUUAAUCCUCUGUGCUGGACUGCCUAUUCGAUUCUUGAGUUUUGGUGCCUGAACCAUUUCUGAAGUGUACCCUUGGCUAGAGUUUUCCCUUAAUUAUUUCUCUUAAUCAAUUAUUUCCUGCAGUUAAUUUAUUUAGUUAGUAUUUAAUCCAAAAACCCCCCAUACUUUGGACUCUAGAAGAAACGAAUUAUCCCCAGUCCCUGUGGAUUCGACCCUACUCACCGCUAUAUAUAAAAUCUGUAUUUUUCUCGAGUAGGUAUUUAUUAUUGCACAGGUUCGGCACCUGUCAGGCGGUGUGGUGCCUUUGUAAACCAAAAGGAACAAAAUUAAGACACCCACAAAGAGGAGAAGACUUACGAACAACCAGAGUCUCAAAUUUAAAGAUGUGAGCUGACACCGCUGCUACACACCAGAAAAACCAACCACAUAAACAACAGAAUUAAGGAACAAAACUUAUCUCAAGCUAAACCACCACAAAUAGUUGUAAUUGAAGACCAUUCUUGAAUGCUGAGUAUAAAGGGAAAAAAAAAUCCCAAUCCCAGAAGCAGGGGAGAAUCUAAAGAGUGUGAAAGAGAAGGCAUUGGAACAACCAUAACCGAUACUCAGACAUUAAUUCAUUAACAUACCCACGUUUAUGGCUGUUAAAUUGAGAUGUAAAUGACAGAAAAAAUGGGUUGUUUCUGACGUGAGCUUUAACAUCUUUGGGAGUUGCGCAAGUGAUCGGACAUAAGUUGUUUCAAAUAAAGAAAUAUCCUCAAACAGUUAUUUUUGCCUCAAAAGUUACACUUCAAUUAAAUGUGUCUAUAAUACCAUUUCAGUAUUUCUACAACAUAUAAGUUUAUAUGUGUUGUACUCUAUGCAAAAACGGUUGCAAAAUAAUUACACAUUCCACAAAUACCCAGUUGUCUUCAUAAAUCAAAACUUUAAAUGUAUUAAAAUGAGGACAUUUUGGUAAACAUGCCUAAACACAUGCUGUUCUCAGUUGUACCAAAAUUUUUAAAAAAACUACACAACAUUCCACAUUCUCAAAAAGUUCUAUUCAUCCAGUUGAAAUUCAAAACCUCUUUUAACCACAACUCAUUCUUAUAUAGUAUAAGGAUAUCUCAUUCAAUUUUUUUAUGACGUCACAAGGAAAAAGAGAAAAGAAUUGGUCACAAAUAUUUUUUUAAUCGAUAUUGAGUCAUAAAUCUUGAACAAUGUGUGGAUGAACAGAAUCUGCCUUUUUUUUCUUAAAAACAUAAAAAAGGGAAAAAGAAAUCAUAACAGCAGUGUUUUGAAAAUCGAAACAGACCGGCCGGUUUGAUGGGUUGAACCUCGAAUCAGCCAUGACAGUGGUCCAUUCUAUACUAAAGUUGAAAGCGUCAAAUAACUUAUCAAAAUUGGUCAAACUCAUCAAAACCGGUAAAUCUAGUCGAACCGGUGAUUCUCGAUUUUUCAAAGGAUUGAACUUGGACCUUUUCUAUUAAAGCCUAGCAUGGUAACCAGUGCACAAUCACAUCCAAUUAGUCUCUUUUGAGAACACAUUUAUGUAAAACAAACUUUCAUCUUUCUUUCCUCUGUUUUUUUUUUACAAAAUUUUAUUCUCUCAUGACUCUUUUCUUUUUAGUCUUCAACUCUCUUUCUCUAUCUCCUCUUUUCUUUUGUCACCCCUUUUUUAAUCCAACCUUUUUAGUUUUAAUUUAUUGAUAUUUUUUUCCAUCUUUUGUUUUUGUCUAUUAAUUAAAAAAAUUAAAAAAGAAUUGUUAUUCUUUAACCUUAAAAACUGAUUAUUAAAUGCCACAACCACUCACUUUUAUCUCAUUUUUUUUUUCUUCUUAUCAAGUUUGCAUCUCUAUUUUCAAUUCUCCUGACUUUCUUCAAACUCCAAAAUUCUUUUUUUUUUUAAGUUGCAAUUUCUAAAUUCCAAAAACGUGAAUUAAAAUUUAAACUCACAAUGUCUAAUUCUCAUAGACGUGAGUUUUAUAUAAUUUCAAAAUACUGUGGUAUUUUUAGAUUGGAUUUAAGAUUAUUUUUUUGGUAGAUAUAAUUGAGAUUGAGAUGACAUUUAUUUGUUUCUACUCAUAAUUUAAAAAUUUUAUUUUUGAAAAUCCAAAUUCUUUGAAAAUAUUAAAUUUUUUAUCAUAUAAAGUUUUAAAUUAGUCCACUGCAUGUCUUAUUUUGUGUAUAUAUAUUUAUAUAAAUUAUUUUGUAAAAAAUUCAUUGAACCGGUCCGACCGAUUGAAUCUUGACCCGAAUACCUCACCUGUUCAAUUAACGGUUUGAGUUUUAAAAUAUUGCACAGGAGUUAGAGGGAUGAAUAUUGAGGUGAUGAAGUAGAGGUGAUAAGAACAUACCAUAUUUCCCAAAGGCUCCAAGAUAUUGAGGCAUAACACUUGGUAAGGUGUCGUCAGAGAUAUUAUUAUUCUUGGUUUGGGCUUCUUUAUGCAGGGUUGACAUCUCUUUGAAGACUCAUGGAGCAGCUUGUAAGGGUUUCCUCUGAAACCCUUGUUCUUUUAGAAGUUUCUCGAGCUUCCUCGGCCUAAACCAUACCCAGUUCAAUGCUUGCCAUGACACUACUACUACUAGAAGAAGAAGAAGAAGAAGACAAGAAGAAUAUACAGUAAACAUUGACACAUAGAUGGUUUCCAUCAUGUGUUUUUGUUUUGUUGGUUUUCUUGUGAGAUUUCUACCUCUGUUGUGUGUAUAUUUACAUUGGAGUGGGGGCUAUGCAUCCAUUUACUUCAAGACAAAGGAAAUGAUUAAGAAAUAAAAGAGAUGAUAAUUAUCGAAAGUGAAGGGAGAAAAUUUGACCUAGAUGAUGUUCCUAUGUGGCUAUGAUACAUCAGGUGGAGCCUAUUCCCAAAUUUUGGAUUUUAGAGCAAUUAUCCGGUGCAGAUAAAGCUGGAUCCUAUAAAUUUGAAACUUGUUACUAAAGUCAAAUUUUUUUGUUCCAUGUUCUUUAAAACUCUGAACAUUUAUUUUUCUUUUCCUUUUUUCUUGGGAUCACAAAAAAAACUGAGUAUUUGUUUCAUCAAACUAAAGAACCCUUAUAAAGUAAUCUUAGUAUAUAUAAAACCUCGUGUCUAAGCUACGCUAACUUGUAAUAAUGUUUGAUGAAUUUUCAUCUCUUUUGUCAACUAUUCUUGUUCCAUAAUUUAUAGUGGUCGUCGGGGAUGACAAGUAGAUUUUUAAAAAAAAAAAUCACAAAAGAAGUAAGAAUGUAUGAAAUAUUGUUUGCUUUUAGGAUAAUAAGAAGUUGACCCAAAACUAACAGAAAAUGCGUUGCAAAAUCGCCGCCAGCACGUCCUUGCUAGUCCGGGUACAUGCUGAAUGAGAUCAUUGUCCAAACAAGCAGCACAGCAAUGGUCUCGAGCCCAGAAAAAUACAACGCCUUGCACUCCUCAAUAACUUCUCUUGUAAUUGUUCAAAAUUUCAUCAUGUCCAAGUUCCAAAGGAGAUCGACUUACCACUAAGAAAUAUUUUUUUAAUACUAGCUAAUAAAAUUUAUAGAGUCUACUAAUUAAUGUUUGAGAACAGCUGUUAAAUGAUUUUUAAGCCAUGACAAGCCAUUUGUUUUCUCGAUUAUCAAAGAAAAAGGAAAGAUCUCUUGCAAAAUCAAACCAAUAGAUGCAAUAUUUCUCUCUUCAUUCGCCGUGAGAAAAACAUUAGCAUUCUGUUUCAAUGCAUAGUAUCCAAAUCUUCAUUCUCUUGCAAAAUCUGUACUGCUAUAUUCAAACAGAUUCAUUGACAUAUCAUAUUGGGCGAGACUUGAACUAGUUUACAAGCAAAGUUAAGCAUAGAAACAAAAACUAUAUCUUCUGCAAAAUCAAGUGAGCUCCAGACUGGGGUUGAACUAGUGCUGUAGCUGUUCCAGGAGCAUGAGUAUAAGACGGUGAGAGUUCAAAGGAGAAGCGUUGCAGAAUCAUAGACAUUGCCAAUUUUGCUUCCAACAUGGCAAAAUUUUGUCCAAUGCAAAUGCGAGGUCCCCAGCCAAAUGGAAAGUAUGCAACCUGGCCCUUUGUUGCAUGUGAUACUCCUUCAGCAAACCUCUCAGGCUUGAAUUCCUUCACAUCCUCGCCCCAUUUAUCAGGGUCAUGAUGCAUCAGCACUAUUGGUAAGGUGAGUUGCACUCCAGCCGGGAGAGUUAAAUUUCCUAAUUUAGUUUCUUCAAUAGUUCUUCGACUCAUUGUAGCCAAUGGUGGACACAACCUUAAAACCUCAUGCAAGAUCAUGGUGACCUAUAUAUGGGAAGGGGACCCAAAACAAACAAAAAAAAAAAAGAAAAAAAAGGUGUGAGAUAGAGUAAUUAGGAUGUCUAUGCAGAUGAGAAGCUUCGACGAACUUCGUUAAUUAGCAUGUCUCUCCUGCCAUUAGUGCAAUUUUGCAAAUCAAUGAAAUGAUCAUUGCUAAUUUUAUGUUUUUCAAAGAAAAAGAUUGGCUUACAAUUUUGAGGUGAUUUAGCCCAUCAAAGUCCGGAUCCUUAGUUCCAAAUUGUUGCAAGACCUCCUCUCUAGCACGUGCCUGCCAUUCGGGGUACCUGCAGAGUAAGACCAUUGUCCAGACAAGUAG